This is a non-coding RNA of Pelodiscus sinensis (Chinese soft-shelled turtle), 2950 nucleotides long. NCBI's taxonomy places the organism in Eukaryota, Metazoa, Chordata, Testudines, Trionychidae. The record is from RefSeq and is a predicted model, not a curated record.
CAGUCUUCUGGAAUCUCUCCUGUCUCCCAUGAUUUUCCAGAGAUGAUAGCUAUGAUAGAUUUGUAACAUCCUUACUCUGAACUCAUCUGUUGGUUGUAAUGUGGGCCCAAGCCUGGUAAAAAUGGGAAAGCCUGUCCCCAAAGGGGACGGGGAGAGGUCUAAAACCAGAACUGGUAUUGUUUCCUCACGCAUACCUUCUAUACAAGGACUUGGGCUGCUGAGGUGGGGGCAGCCCACCUCUGCCCUCUGAGUCUGAGUGAGACCUGCACCUCCUAUUACACCCACUGGCAUUAUUGCUGCCAUUAUUUCUAGGCUGGCAUCUUGCUUGGCUGGACCUGUAGUCUUGGUAGGAGGCCCUCACAUGCAGUCUAGGAUUUUAGGACUGCCUUUGCAGGGCUGGGGUGUGAAUUCCCAGAGACCUAAGGAUGGCUCUGGGGUCCUUCAGACUACGUAGUCUGGCAUCUGUGUGCUGUGAGAAUAGCUCUGUCCCUUCAAACGGCAAGUCCUGCAGUGUAUUCUGCACGUCAGGAGGUAUACCAGAGCCCUGCAACCAGCCCCCCCGCCCACGCAUCACAAUGCCCAUGGUCAUUGUGUGUGCUGCCAAGUCCACUGCAUCCAGCAACGCAGUACAUGAGAUGACCCUACUCUCCUCUGUCAGUACCGCAAACUUCUGGUGCAUUUGGAAUGAACUGUGCAAAUCAGGGCAGCUGCUUCCAUAGUACCAACUGGAAUUGCAAUAAGGCGAUAUGCUCAACCCAGGCUAAGUGCAGCAUUUCAGAAGACAUGACAUUUAUUUGGAUCACUGUAUGCUGAACAUCCAAUUACUUUGGAAAUGAAUGCAGACCAAGCUGUGUUUUAUCACCAACCUUAUAAAAGAGCUAAGAAGAUCUGGCAUAUUUCAAGUUGGAAUAAAAUCAAAAGGCAACCAACUAUGGCUCAGCCUCCCAGACAGUAAUUUUGUGAACCCUAGACUCUGGGGUUCCAUUACUAGUUUGAUUAGACAUAAUUGACAGGACAAAAAUGUUCUUGGAUUUUGACUUGCCAAGCAAGCAGGGUGUUGUUCUACGUAAUUGUCCUUUUUAUUCCCCUAUUCCCUUUCCUGGAGAAUUCUAAGUAUGUGAAGUACCUUCAAGUUGAACUAGUAGUUGCCCAACGGAAGGAUUCCAUUAUAAGAAAAACUAAAUCUAAUGACAACACCAAAUGAUGAAAAUCAAGUUAAAUUCCCACAAGAGGCUGAGUUAAAGCAUUAUGAUGGAAAUCUGUUGAACACAUGCUGACAGAAGUAAAGGGAGAGCUGAAGAAUGAAAAGAAAAAAAGACAUGCUUUGUGCUAUAAAAUGUGUAUCACGUUUGAACAAGGUUCUGAAUACAGCUAGGUGACUAGAUACAGACCCAGGGUUAGUGAUAAGUAUUGAGCUGGGAAAAUUAUAUUUAGCAGCACAUCAGUAACUAAUUAAAUACAGAUGGGAUGCUGAAUGCUAUUUUUGCUGAGCUGUGCUGACCACAAAGCUGUGGUCAGCAUCAUGUCACCUAACUGUUGUUCACAGCCACCUCAAGUAAAUUUUUGCUGGACAGACAAAGUCUAAGAUGAAAGAUAAAAUGAGACAGGAGGCCAAUUGGGCAGAAUGGCGAUGAGGCAAUGGAGAGAAAGGACAAUGUGUGUUAGAGUUGGGGCAGGGUGAGAAAAAGGCACCAGUAAGGAGCUAAAGAGAAGGACAAUGGUUACAACCUGCAGGGAUUCACCAGGGUACAUCUGUUUCCUAGCAAAACAGCAUAGGUAGAGCUCCAGUUCUUAAUGCUUCAGGAAGUGUAAUGUUUGUGUUGUGUUGUUAUGCUGCAGAAUCACUAAGUGAUAUGACAGUACAAUGCUACAAAGUCAAGAAACCCAAAAUGUGUGUUCUAAAGCCUGUGAGAGUGUGUAGAUACACUCACUCUAGAAGAAAGACGUGAGAAACAUAAGGACAUUUGUUACACAACAGUUUCAAUACGGUCACAAAUAUUCCUCAGUUCCGUAGCUGUCAAAGAGCAGGUUACCAUAUCAACAUUAUUGUCAAAAGAGACUAUAAUACAGAAUACAAACCAGCAAAGGUAUCUAGGGAUGACUGUAGUUAAAACAGUAAAAAUAUCAGUACAAUAAGGGAAAACAGAAAAAUCUCAAAAUUAUUUCUAUAGUGUGUGCAUGUGUACAGAAUACACAAUGUGUUGUGGUAUAAAAACUAUCAGGGCAAGAGGUUUAUGUACAUUAUCCCUCCUGAGUGCUGAAAAAUAUCGUUACCCCACACAAGGAUAUAUUUUGCAUAUGUGGUACAUAUUACAAUAAUGUUAUUUUCAGGCUGAGAGAUUUCAAGGUGUGUGUUAGCUUCCGUUAUUACAUAAGGGGAAAAACUACCAUACGGAUUAGUGUCAAUAAAAAAUUACUUUUUGGCAGAGGUGAAAGUAAGGCAGUGCACCCUAGUGUGCCAUUCUAGCAAGAACCAGCUGGGGUGCGCUGCUGUAUGCACACGUGGUGCAGCUUGUGGAAGCCCCAGCAAGCUGAGACAGGCAAAUGUGAAAGGAACCAGCUGUGGGCAAGCUACAGGGGAGGGCACUAUGCUAGAGAGGAGGGAGAGCGCUCCCAGCCAGGCUUCCGGUAUGUCUGCACCUGUCCUGUUGCCCCUCUCUCACUGGAUGCCAGGUAGCAAACGUGCAGGCUGUGGUGUGCACUGCUGCCAGCAGCCCCCAGAGAGAAGCCAGAGAAUGGAAUGGCAGACUAGGAGGCUCUCGCACAGCUGCUGAUUUCUCUGUAGCAGUGCCCCCACACAGCUGGCCCAUAGCUCUCUUGUGGCAACACAGCGAACAGGAGCAGCAAGGCAGGAACUUGUCUACCAACCAGGUAACAGUAACCUGGUGAUGACUGGGACUGCCCCAGCCCUGUUUCUCACCCCUGCGCACACACAGCUCCCUGCCCUGAG